UCAUGACCUGAGCUGAAAUCAAGAGUCAGUCAGUCGCUUAUCCUACUGAGCCACCCAAGGUGCCCCUAAAGCUAUAACUUUCUUUUGGGUACUGAUUUGGCCAUGUCCCACAAUUUUGCCUUGUGUGGUUUAUAUCAGUCAGUUUUAAUAUUUAAUAUCUUUUGUAAUUUCCAUUUUAACCCAUGAGGUAUUUAGCUUCCUAACAUAGGAUUCCUUUUAACUGACCUUUAAUAUCUACUUUACUGCAUUUUGGUCAGAGAAUUUAGUCUGAAUGAAAUUGACCCUUUGGAAUCUAGUUACACUUUUAAACCUAACACAUGAUCUAUUUUCAUGUGUGUGUAUGUGCACUCUCAAGUAUCUAUUCUGUUUGGUAUAGAGUUUUGAAUAUUUAUAUAAUAAUAAAGUAUAUUAAUAUUUUGACUUUUUCAGGCUUCUUAUAUCCCUGCUUAAUAUUUCCCCCUCAGUUCUAUGAGUUGUUACUUAAGAAAUUUUGAGGAUGUGCUUUCAGGAUCAUAUAUACCUCAUAUAUGUUUAUGAUGAGUACUAUAUAAUUUUCUGCUGUUCCUUUCACUGGUAUUAAUGUCUAUAUUUGUCCCUUGUAUUUUUUGACUUGAAAUCUUUUUUUGAUGGGUAUUAAGAUUGCUAUCUCAACUUUAUUUUGGUCCACAGUUGCCUGAUACAUCUUUUUUCAUUCUUUUAUUUUUUACUUUUCUGUGUCUUUUUGCUUUGAAGUAUCUUUUGUUAGUUGCAUGUUAUUGAAUUUUAUUUUGUUUUUCUAAUCCAGGCUGAAUGUCUGUCUUUUUAACUGUGAGUUUUAACAUGUUUACAUUCAUUGUAAUUCCUACUAUAUUAAGAUUUACACCUGCCAUCUUCUCUCAUAUCUGUUGAGUGUGGUUAUAUGACCACAACCUCUGGAGUCCCAGCAAGAAUCCUAACGUCUAACAGCUCUGUAACCAAGACAGGUCCCCUAAAACUAAUCCCAACAAACCCAUCUAAAGGAAAACAGCAACAACAACAGUACCACCGCCUUUUAUAGCUCUCUAUCUGGAGUUUCGAGUUUGGGGCAUAAAGGAACUACUUUUGCGGGAGUAAUUUUCUGGGCUAGAACAGCAUACUAAAAAAUAAACUGACCCAGAUAUUAACCAAUAAAUGAUUAAAAUGACUCCAGGCUCUCCCAAUAGAAAAAUCUGCCUAAGACUAGGAGAUCAAGAUGGGAAAGCUCAGUAAACCUUCUUGGUCAGCAUCCAUGUUCUUAGAUACAGACAAUAAUAUAACCCAUUGCUUUCAGACUUUAAUAUCAUUUCUCUAGUCUUCUCAUUCACAGGUUAAAACUACCUUUCCAGAUAUUUCAACUAAGUCACCAGUUUCCAAGGGCAUUUGCCACCUACGGAAAACAUCAGAUUCGAGUAUACCAGAUGUCCUUGCAACUCAUCCCACCACAAAAUUUGCUCCACCAGCGGACAACAAAGGCAACCACUGUGUUUCUUUCCAUUACCAAGUAGAUAUAAUAUCCCUGCCAACAAGACAGAAUACACAAAGUGUCUCCUUGCAGUAUCACAACCAGUUGAGACCACGCUAAGAAAGUCAGCUUGCCUGGAGGAAGACCCCUUCUCUUCUUGGGUAGACACAGUUUGAAGGAGAAACUCUGACCUGUGCCACUGAACCCCCAAAAGACUCAGGGAUUUGAAGCACCCUGGGAGAUGGGAGUGAGGAGCAAAGUUGAAACACAGGAGGCUACUGGAGAGUGUGUGUCACCAAAACAAAGGACUAAAUCUAAAGAAGAAGGCUUGGCAUCCUGAAGACAAGAUCUCACAAAGGAAUGCAAUGAAGGAAAGUCAGGAUGGCUACCAUGUCAAGUAAGUAAGGUGGGGGUCUCAGGAAGUAGGGCUCUAGGAAACUGGGAACCAGUGUUUGAGUACAUGGAAAAUGCAGAAAGGAGUGAGUCAGAUGUUAGGACAUUAGAGGAAACAAAAAGGAUAAGUACAUGGGAUACUUGGUUAAUGUUCAAAUGAGGCAAUUAGAAGUACCCCAAUACACAUUUUUGGAUUUUGGAUUUUGGACACAUUCCAGGGUGUCACUGUGUCACGAAAAUAAAUCUCAAAUUUUAUUUCUUAAAAUGCAGUUAUUUUAUUACAAUUUUAGUCAGAAUUUAGAAGUUUGGCAUUAAAAAUGUAGUAUUAAAAUUGUAGUCAUGUCAGUAAUUAUAUGGUUUCUUCAGGUAUCAUACUCCAUAAUUGCAACAGAUGCACCAAUAAGACAUGCACUGCAGUCUUUUUCAGAAAAAAAAUUACAGUAAAACCUUUGUUUGCGAGCAUAAUUGGUUCCAGAAACAUGCUUGUAAUCCAAAGUACUCACAUAUCAAAGCGAAUUUCAAGAACCAUUGGCUCAGUUGUGAUCAUGUGACACUCAGUGUCACGUACUACUCAGAUUGCGAGAUAUCACUCAUUGAUCAAGUUAAAAUUUUUUAGAAAUGUUUGCUUGUCUUGUGGAACACUCACAGACCAAAUUACUCUCAAUCCAAGGUUUUACUGUAUUAUAACUUGUUUUGCAAAAAGAACUUUGUCCCUUCCUUAGGCAAACCUCAAAAUUUUCUUACUAACAGAAAUGAUACAUAGUCUAUAGCAGUAGGGUGAAUAGCAUUUUCAUGUAAAUUUUAGCCUCUGUUGUUUCAAAAGCGUGCUACUUUAAAAAUAAUAUUUUGAAUUUUCAUGUUAUUUUUCAUCUUCCAUACUGUUUUUGCUAUCAAGAUAUAGUUAUAUCC
Long non-coding RNA from Neofelis nebulosa (Clouded leopard), 2761 nucleotides. RefSeq lists it as uncharacterized. The record is from RefSeq and is a predicted model, not a curated record. NCBI's taxonomy places the organism in Eukaryota, Metazoa, Chordata, Mammalia, Carnivora, Felidae. The transcript has 3 exons.